This 330-nucleotide unclassified non-coding RNA is filed under the name soil metagenome. Its description in RNAcentral is "partial contains 5.8S ribosomal RNA, internal transcribed spacer 2, and large subunit ribosomal RNA". The stretch from base 1 to 120 matches the Rfam family "5.8S ribosomal RNA", at positions 35 to 154 of the family's 154-position model. The record is from RNAcentral.
GAUGAAGAACGCAGCGAAAUGCGAUAAGUAAUGUGAAUUGCAGAAUUCAGUGAAUCAUCGAAUCUUUGAACGCACAUUGCGCCCCGUGGUAUUCCGCGGGGCAUGCCUGUUCGAGCGUCAUUUCACCACUCAAGCCUCGCUUGGUAUUGGGCGCCGCGUGAUUUCCACGCGCGCCUCAAAGUCUUUCCGGCUGAGUCGUCCGUCUCCCAGAGUUGUGAUACAUUUUCGCUUCGGAGUGCGGGUGGCCGCGGCCGUUAAAUCUCCAUCAAAGGUUGACCUCGGAUCAGGUAGGGAUACCCGCUGAACUUAAGCAUAUCAAUAAGCGGAGGA